CCGCAGCUAAUUAAGCCGGUCGGGGUCCCUUUUCCCCGUGGGGCCCCGGCGUGCACUGGCUGCGCACAGCGACCCCCCCGGCUGUGUAGGGCGCCCGGUGCCACCCCCCCGCCGGGCGUCCCAAGGGGCUGGGGGCACAAAG
This 142-nucleotide small nucleolar RNA is filed under the name Cairina moschata (Muscovy duck). RNAcentral's name for it is "domestica (muscovy Duck (domestic type)) Small nucleolar RNA SNORA70 (ENSCMMG00000016396.1)". It matches the Rfam family "Small nucleolar RNA SNORA70". From Rfam's summary of the family: snoRNA U70 seems to be exclusive to mammals and is a member of the H/ACA class of snoRNA which contain H (ANANNA) and ACA box motifs. The record is from RNAcentral. Lineage: Eukaryota; Metazoa; Chordata; Aves; Anseriformes; Anatidae.